AUGAUGAGGUCACAGACAAGUAAAGAGAGCAGGAGUGGCCUUUUGUAAAACUUCUGUUUCAUCCUCCUCAGGUCGCCGUGCGUGCUCUCUUUCUUCUUCUUUUUGGUUUCAGCUCUACAUGAUGAAGAUUGCCUCUCCGUCUGAGGAGUCAGAGGGUCUGCCAUGUGGGUAAGGAGUGCGCAGAGGAGACUUUGAAAGCUACUUAAGAGUGAAGGAGACUCCAGAAAACGUGCCACAAUCCUCCAUUAUUGUAAUGAUUGUUUUGUGAGAUGAAAGGAAAGGAAACGUAGAGAGUGAGUAUGUAUUUAUGGCUGUUAUUUGUUGAGGGUAAUGUGGUAUUUGGCAGAGAGUGUGUCUGGAUUGUAAAAGUGAAGUGAUGCUGUGAGUAGGCCAGUACAACACAACUCAAUACAGCAGCUUUAAUGCAGAGAGUUGAAGAUGAAUAAUUCAGGCGGGGAUGUAUUUGUGAAUCAUGGGAAGAGGGUUUGGAUAAGUCUGUUGAAGAGGGGGGAAGGAUUGUGUUUUCUCCUCUCACCCUCCCUCUCUCAGUCUCUCUUUGUUUUUUUGUUUGUCCAUCUGCAUAUUUUUUUUUCACAGUGAAACUUUUCUAACAGUCUGAUCUGGACUGUGAAAUCAGGGCUGAGUGAUUGAUGUGUCUGAGGCGUUCGAUGCUGCCUGUGCAAUUAGACUAAGUCGAGUGAAUGCUUUACUAUGCUGAGUGGUUUUAGAGCAGGUUUGCUAACAACGCUGACGCAAACGUGCUGUUCAUCACCUAAAAUUGUACCCAGAGUUUCCUGAAUUGGAACUAAGAAAACUGACAGUAUGUGCACAAAAUAUAAAGUUGAAUUGCAUCGAAAUCCGGCUGUUGACAGUCUGGAUUAGAUCAGAUUAGAUUACAGACAUAUUUAAAAUUAAAAAAUAUUACUGCAAAAUUAUCUGCACCAUGUAUUUACACCUACAGAGCUCUUUUGAUUUUUUAAAAUAUUUUUUUAAAAGUAAAAAAGUCCAAAUAAAAAAAUAUAUACACACUUUCAGUCAAUCGGUUUUACUCUAUCUUCACAAACUUUGUUUUAGAGGAUCGGCAGCAAAUAAACAGGAUUAUUUCACUAUUUGAGAGCGUGGUAUUAUGUAAGAACUCCACAACACUGCAACAACAGAAAAAAUUAACCCUUUCAUUCCCAGAAAUAACACUAAAGUACAUCUUUUUUGAGGCCAGAUACCAAAAUAUGUAUUUUUUUUAAACACAUAAAUAAAUAAAAAUAGAUAAAGAUAAAAUAGUGUUCAAUAACAUUGUUGUAAAUUAAGGUUGUUAUGAUACGUGUGUAAAGAAUAGCAAUUGCAAGUUAUAUAUCAAUUAUACUAUAUCAUAAAUAUAAUAUGUUAAAGAAUAGUCUGUUACAUAACAUAUAAUAUCAGGUAAAAUUACGAAUAUAAACUAAAAUAUAGUGACCAGCAGUAUUUUCCUUUCCUACUUUCUUCUUUUUUUGAACAUGGACCUUUUUUGCAUUCGAAAAAUUGAACACAGAUUAACCCAAAAGUGUACCUGAAUUUUCUUCAACACACUCCUCGUGUGUCUACGACCUGUCUUGAACGCUGCAGCAGCUCCCGCUUUAACUCUUGAGUGGUUCUUUCUAGGACUGUCCAACCUGAGAAUGGUAAAUUCAGGCUCAAUCUCAGGUUCGUCAGCCCAUGAAACGCCGACUCACCUCAGCAGAUUAUGAGGAGAAUCACCUCAGAGGCUAAAAAACCAGCCUGGAAUUUCAUGGGAUGAGAUUUCAAGUCAAGCUGACAGGGUUGACAACUUGUACCUUCUUUCUUUUUUUUUAAUUCUGCAAUUCUUGAGCAUUGCACAUGACUUUAGGUCAAAGUAUUUGCUUCUGUUUAUCACUGUGUUUAUCAUAUUCAUAAAUUAUUGCACAUUAAGACUGUUUGACCUGAAUCAGUCACUGGAGUAGCAGGUGGUGAUCCUUAUUUUAAAGGACAGUGAACAAAGCAACUAAUUCCUGACUGUUUUAAUAUUCAGAAACAUUUCCCUCCAACACAACACCGUCUCUUCGCCAGUAGAGGGAGCAAUGCACACACCUACAGGGACUCAUGCCGUGUGUAGAAAUUACUCUGAUCAAUUUGACUCUCAAAGCUAAAUUUUCUGAAUAACCAGCUCUGUGAGUCUGCUUUAAUGUCCUCAAGAACAGCGUCUUCAUCCUGAAAGUGAUUAAUGAAGGAAAUGGGCUUGUUGGAGGUUACCUCACGAGCUGCGUUCAAACUGAAACCAGCGGCACCUGUCAGAGCUCAAAUGUGGGUUUUUGAAACACAAAGAGAGGCAAAGUGGUUUAAUGGAUAGUUUUACAUUCACCUGCACUAAAAACUGUCAUUCGGUCCAUGUUGGUAUAAAUAUGUCCAUCUGUGUUACAUCUGUAGAAAGGGUUUUGGUUAAUGAUUUUAAUGUUUCUAACAAAAGGAAGAGUUCAUGCCCAAAAGUGAUGGGUGCAUGUUUGCAAAAUCUGUUCAUAUACUGUCAUGUUGAUCAAUAAUCAUACGGAUAUUUAAACUAUGUGUACAGGUAAUGCAAAAGAGCAGUGGGAUGGUUUUACUUUCUACAAUCUGGAGGUAUUUUAGGGAUUAAUAGACAACUCUAAGAUCAGAUAAGAUAUUCUUUUAAUAAUCCCACAGGGGGAAAAUUCCAAAAUGACAGCAGCAUAGUUGUAUAGUUUAUAAACUAUAAUGUGGAAUAUGUUCUUAUGAUGCCUUUAUCUUUGGUUUCAUUGGGGGUUUCAAUCCUCUUAAGCAACUGAAAUCAUUUUCGAGAGAGUAAAAUCCUACAAAGUACAAAACUAGAAUCUGAGAUCUUAAAGCACUUCAUAAUUUCUGGCUUAAUGGCUGCUGUGUGCUUUAUUUUUAUAAAACGGAUGUUGGCAGUACAGGUUUUUUUUUUUAAAAAAGUGGGAUUUCAGAAUUUAAAUGAAAUCAAAGAAUUUAAAUUUGCAAAAAUAAAAAAUGAACAAGAUCAGAUCAUUUACAUAAUUCCAACAAAGGCUGCAGGAAAUGUGCCCCGCUCUUUGUCUCUGUGUUGUAUUUGCAGUGUCGUUAAUCUUGUUCUGAUGCAGCUCUUCAGUUUUUUUCUUUGUUCUCUGACAGAUUUUUUAACUUCUCUUUCACCUUGCCUUACGCGCCUGAAAGAAUCAUCACCUUUUACAACCGAUCCUCCGCUGAACUGAUUAUUUUCAUCAAAAAAUUCUGUGGAGACAUUUCUUAACAAGGAAAUUGGACAUAUCAGAGAUUCUCCAGUUUUUCUCUAUUUUAGUGCAUUUACUCUGAAAAAAAAAAAAAAAAAAGUUUGGAUUAAGUAGUGAGCUUUGUACGGGGACAUGUGCGAACAUUUUCAGGAGAUAAAUUGAAAGAAUUGACUUUUAUACUCAGACUUCUCGCUGAGAUAGAUAUGUAAGUCGAUCUAAAAUUCAAAGAUGUUAAAGUAUGUGACGAACCAGAUGGAAACAAUCAGACCUUUAAAAAGUUGUUCUAUAUCUUGUACGGUACCUUUCAGCUCUGUUUCCGAAAGAUAAUAAUUUAGGGUACAAACAGAUAUAGGUAAAAAAAAAAAAAGAAGCACUUUGUUAUCUCCUGUUAUUCAGCCUUUUUGUCCCACAGAGCCGCAGACACUGUCAGAUUACAAAUGAAGCCUGUCAAAAAUUUUACUGAGUGUAAAAAUUCAUGCUAUCUAUAAAAAACUAGAUUUAAACCAGAUAUCUGCAGAUGGUUCACUUUUUUUACAUCUUUUAUUGGCUGUGAUUAAGCGCUUUGGUUCACAUUUACAGUUUUCAUUUUUUAGACACUCCCUUCCACAAUGAGCUAUUUGUAUUAUUACUUUUAUUAUUUCCCUGGAAGAGACUACUGAGGCAGCAGGUGCGCCUUGUUACCGACAAUGCAGUGUUACAAUCGUAGUCUGCUUCACCAAAAUCCGACUGCGCCCUCAGUCGCUUUACUUUUAUCGUAUUAAGACAACCAUGUCAAAAUCAAACCUAAUCACAGGAGGCUUUGUUGCCCAUAAAAACUGAUUUCACAAACAUCCUGUCAGAGAAAAAUGGUCGCGCGGAAAAUGGACGAGAGGAGUGUGUGACCCCGGCGGCCUUUCUUUCAUGUGGGGUCAGAGGUCAGAUAGAAAUCCAGCUCUCUGUGGAGAGAUUAAAGCCUGUCGCCAAGGUAACAUUUUGUACAACCAGAAUGACAAGGGUCACACCGGGGACCGCCAACUCUUGUAUGGCACACUGACUUUUAUCUUAUAAAGAACCCCCCGUGGUGUUUUAAUCCUUUAUCCAGUUAAUAUAGAAACAGUGCAGAACCGAGCGUUGAUUUGCAUGUGUGUCGGCGCGUGUGUCUUUUCACGCCUGCUCUCCCCGUUUUAACCUUUUUUUGUUGGCCCACAGCGUUUUGUUUGUGAGUCAGCCGAGCAGAGUUGAAGGGUUUGAGCCGUGUCGCCCGGGGUCAGUUGGCUGCAAGUGAAUGAGAUGAAUGAACAUGUGUGUGUGUGGACUCGGGAGGAGGGGGGGGAGAAGAAAGAAGCAAGAUCACCGUGGCCAAGUGUGAGCUGAGGUGGCUGGCACACAGCGCAGUCGGAGGCUCAGAGAAAGUCCGGGUCAUGCUGUGUCACGAAAGCAGAGAGAGCGCUUUGGAUUCAUGUCUAUGUUUGAUGGCUUGAAUUUGAUACGGUCUGUUAAAUAUCUGCUGGUUUCAGCAUAAAAAAUACAAAAUAUGCCACUAUUUUGUUUUAUUUUAGCCUGUUGUUAAGGCUGCGUAACCUUUCCGUCCUUCUGUAUUUGCCAAACACGACGGUUGACUCCUACUAUGUGAACAAGUGACCAUGCAUCAUCUGUCUUUCUUUUCUGUGUGUGUGUGUGUGUUCGUGUGUGGGGUUAAAAGGUGUGGUGGGAGAGCUGUGAGCCGAGGUCAGUCAGUUCCAGCCCCGAGGAGAGCGCCGCCGCGGCCUUGGAACAGUGUGGGGGUGGUUCACUUCCCCUUUCCCUGCCUCACAGCUUCCUGUGAGUGCUUUAACCGUUAACCACACCCUCCUCCCCUGGCCUACAACCCCCCCACCCCCCACCCCCCUCAUAGCGCCGCCACCACUCCUACAGCCAACCUAGAAAACACCCUGCUUUUACACCAGAUCUCCCCUUUUUUUUUUCCUCCAAGGCCAAUCCACACACGCACACACGCUGAUAAUAGUCCUCUCCUCCUUGUGCUGUAGUCAGUAGUCACACCUCUCGGUUGGUCCCCGACAGUUAUCUCUGUGUUUCACUCUGUUGCUCCAUGUUUGACCCCUGCCAGCUAAUUACAAUGUUAACAUGACUGUAUGAAUGUUCGAGCUGUUUAGGCUCCGUGUUAGAUAAGUCAAGAUUUAAACAGGUUAAUCAUCUUUCAGUUUCAGUCACUUGGAUCUUUCUAUUACACUUGUUAUUCAGUUGAUCUUUGACUAUUAAAUUCACAUCUUUGAUUUCAUUUUUGUCCUCUUUUUUUUUUUGCUUUGUAUCAUCUGAAAAUCAUGUAUGUUGAGUGUUAAAAAGUUCUCCACAAAUAAACAAAAUAAAGUAACUUUUGAUCUAUGAGAACUUCCACCCAGAGCUGGUUUCUCAUCCCAUCAUUAACCAUAUGUAGCUCAUCGAAAAACACUGUAAAGAUUCUGGCUCUGCUCGGCAACAGCUGAGUCACCGCUGAGAGACGUCAGUGAGCAGAUUAUAAAGCAAUUCCCAUUCAUAAUAUUCACACUGCGGUAGUUUACCUCAGUCAUGACAUUCAGGGCCAGUAUCUGACGUGCUGUUAGUACACUGCAGUGCUAUAAGUGUUAAAAAUUAUGAAAAAAAAAGUAAAAUGGGGAACAAAACAGUUAUAAAUCAGAUUACUGUUUCCUGAUUGAGAAGCAUAAUGAAACUCUAGAGGGGCACGGACGAUAUUUUACCUACAUGGAAAUUACAGAAGCCCUAAGCGGACAUGAAUCUAUAAAUCAUAGUUGCAUAGCCUUCCUGUUAUAUACACUUAUCUUGACUGACCAUAAAAUUCAUUAUAUAGCUCCUACUAAUGUAUGUAGUCAGUUUGAAUGAAGGAGAUGAUUCCCAAAGGGUUCAGCUAAGGAGCUCAAUGUGUAGUUUCUGUGUAGUUGUGUAUCUCUUUUGUACCACCUGUUUUCACCAUGAGAAAAAAAGGUAAAAAUACACAUAAAAAACUGCAAAUCUGUGCAGAUAGGAAAUCCACUGUUUAUAAUCUGUGUAUAGAUUUGUAAUCUGAGGGAACAGAUUCGUAAUCUGUGUGCAUGGAUUUACAAUUUGGGUUUGUAAUCCAGGUGCGCAGUGUGGAAAAUCUAUUCACACAGAUUAGGACCCUGUCCUCAUGGAUUUGUCAUUCUUGUGUACAAAUUACCAAUCUGUUUUUAUGUUAUAGAUCCAUACGCACUUCAGACUGUCCACUGAGAUUUACACAUGGCUUGUCUUUUUUCUUGUUCUGGCACCUGGAGGCACUUGCAGUCCUGCCAGCUCUUAAAACUGGAAGAGUUUAGCCCA
Non-coding RNA from Xyrichtys novacula (pearly razorfish), 6545 nucleotides. The record is from the annotation of a GenBank genome assembly. Lineage: Eukaryota; Metazoa; Chordata; Actinopteri; Labriformes; Labridae.